AUGUACCACGCGUCCACUGNGUGAGCGCGCGGUCCUCACCCACCUGACGACUGCUCGCUACGUUUUGUUCGUC
This 73-nucleotide small RNA is filed under the name Xanthomonas oryzae pv. oryzae. Its description in RNAcentral is "sX9". It matches the Rfam family "Xanthomonas sRNA sX9". Lineage: Bacteria; Pseudomonadati; Pseudomonadota; Gammaproteobacteria; Lysobacterales; Lysobacteraceae. The record is from RNAcentral.